This 254-nucleotide ribosomal RNA is filed under the name uncultured bacterium. Its description in RNAcentral is "partial 16S ribosomal RNA". It matches the Rfam family "Bacterial small subunit ribosomal RNA", at positions 524 to 776 of the family's 1533-position model. The record is from RNAcentral.
UACGUAGGGGGCGAGCGUUGCCCGGAUUUAUUGGGCGUAAAGAGCUCGUAGGCGGUUUGGCAAGUCGGGUGUGAAAACUCCGGGCUCAACUCGGAGACGCCACUCGAUACUGCUAUGACUUGAGUCCGGUAGGGGAGUGCGGAAUUCCUGGUGUAGCGGUGAAAUGCGCAGAUAUCAGGAGGAACACCGGUGGCGAAGGCGGCACUCUGGGCCGGUACUGACGCUGAGGAGCGAAAGCGUGGGGAGCGAACAGG